This is a non-coding RNA of Peromyscus eremicus (cactus mouse), 387 nucleotides long. NCBI's taxonomy places the organism in Eukaryota, Metazoa, Chordata, Mammalia, Rodentia, Cricetidae. The record is from the annotation of a RefSeq genome assembly.
AUGAAGCUGUGGCUGAACUGGGUUUUCCUUGUAACUCUUUUAAAAGGUGUCCAGUGUGAGGUGCAGCUUGUAGAGUCUGGAGGAGGCUUGGUACAGCCUGGGGGUUCCCUGAGACUCUCCUGUGCAGCCUCUGGGUUCACCUUCAGUGACUAUCAUAUGAACUGGAUUCGUCAACCUCCAGGGAAGGGACUGGAAUGGAUUGCAGUGAAUAGAAACAAAGCUAAUGGUUACACCACAGAGUACAGUGCGUCUGUGAAGGGCCGGUUCACCAUCUCCAGAGAUGAUUCCAAAAACACCCUCUACCUGCAAAUGAACAGCCUGAAAGCUGAGGACACUGCCACUUACUACUGUGCAAAAGUCGAGUUUGAACUUUACAGAAUUGAUUAG